GUACUCGAGCGGCGAACGGGUGAGUAACACGUGAGUAACCUGCCCCUGACUCUGGGAUAAGCCCGGGAAACUGGGUCUAAUACCGGAUACGACACCUCCUGGCAUCGGGUGGGUGUGGAAAGUUUUUUCGGUUGGGGAUGGACUCGCGGCCUAUCAGCUUGUUGGUGGGGUAACGGCCUACCAAGGCGACGACGGGUAGCCGGCCUGAGAGGGCGACCGGCCACACUGGGACUGAGACACGGCCCAGACUCCUACGGGAGGCAGCAGUGGGGAAUAUUGCGCAAUGGGCGAAAGCCUGACGCAGCGACGCCGCGUGGGGGAUGACGGCCUUCGGGUUGUAAACCUCUUUCAGCAGGGACGAAGUUGACGUGUACCUGCAGAAGAAGCGCCGGCUAACUACGUGCCAGCAGCCGCGGUAAUACGUAGGGCGCAAGCGUUGUCCGGAAUUAUUGGGCGUAAAGAGCUCGUAGGUGGCUUGUCACGUCGGGUGUGAAAGCUUGGGGCUUAACUCCAGGUCUGCAUUCGAUACGGGCUGGCUAGAGGUAGGUAGGGGAGAACGGAAUUCCUGGUGUAGCGGUGAAAUGCGCAGAUAUCAGGAGGAACACCGGUGGCGAAGGCGGUUCUCUGGGCCUUACCUGACGCUGAGGAGCGAAAGCGUGGGGAGCGAACAGGAUUAGAUACCCUGGUAGUCCACGCUGUAAACGUUGGGCGCUAGGUGUGGGGACCUUCCACGGU
Molecule: ribosomal RNA, 735 nt
Filed under: Streptosporangium sp.
Lineage: Bacteria; Bacillati; Actinomycetota; Actinomycetes; Streptosporangiales; Streptosporangiaceae
Description: bacterial SSU rRNA
Rfam family: Bacterial small subunit ribosomal RNA
Source: RNAcentral